CUACGGGAGGCUGCAGUGAGGAAUUUUGCGCAAUGGGCGAAAGCCUGACGCAGCGACGCCGCGUGAAGGAUGACGGCCUUCGGAUUGUAAACUUCUGUUAGAUGGGAAGAAAGGCUUGUCAGUAAUAUGGACAAGAGAUGACGUUACCAUCAAAGAAAGCACCGGCUAACUUCGUGCCAGCAGGCCGCGGUGAAUACGAGGGGUGCAAGCGUUAUUCCGAAUUACUGGGCGUAAAGGGUGUGUAGGCGGCGCACUAAGUCGAUUGUUAAAGGUCCCGGCCUACCCGGGAAAAAGCAGUCGAUACUAUUGUGCUAGAGGGUGAGAGAGAGAAGUGGAAUUCUUGGAGUAGCGGUAAAAUGCGUAGAUCUCAAGAAGAACACCAAUGGCGUAAGCAGCUUCUUGGCUCAUUCCUGACGCUAAUGCACGAAAGCGUGGGGAGCAAACAGGAUUAGAUACCCGAGUAGUC
Molecule: ribosomal RNA, 466 nt
Filed under: uncultured bacterium
Lineage: Bacteria
Description: partial 16S ribosomal RNA
Rfam family: Bacterial small subunit ribosomal RNA
Source: RNAcentral